This 73-nucleotide transfer RNA is filed under the name Methanohalobium evestigatum Z-7303. Its description in RNAcentral is "tRNA-Asn (GTT) (tRNA-Asn-GTT-1-1)". It matches the Rfam family "tRNA". From Rfam's summary of the family: Transfer RNA (tRNA) molecules are approximately 80 nucleotides in length. Their secondary structure includes four short double-helical elements and three loops (D, anti-codon, and T loops). Further hydrogen bonds mediate the characteristic L-shaped molecular structure. tRNAs have two regions of fundamental functional importance: the anti-codon, which is responsible for specific mRNA codon recognition, and the 3' end, to which the tRNAs corresponding amino acid is attached (by aminoacyl-tRNA synthetases). tRNAs cope with the degeneracy of the genetic code in two manners: having more than one tRNA (with a specific anti-codon) for a particular amino acid; and 'wobble' base-pairing, i.e. permitting non-standard base-pairing at the 3rd anti-codon position. The record is from Rfam by way of RNAcentral. Lineage: Archaea; Methanobacteriati; Methanobacteriota; Methanomicrobia; Methanosarcinales; Methanosarcinaceae.
GCCGCCAUAACUUAGCUGGUAGAGUGCUCGGCUGUUAACCGAGUUGUCACAGGUUCGAGUCCUGUUGGCGGCG